CAAAACGACGCUGGAUUUGUCUCUACAACGCUCUUAUGAAACAGUUUCACGGUUCAGUGAUUCUCUCUUGGUUUUGCUCCACAUUCCUCCCAUUUUUCUUUACCUUCGUUUUCUCUUGUCGUUUCAAGGCCGGCACAAGUUCCAAAGUACAAGCUUUUUAUUCGGAUGUUUCUUAUUGCACCUCCAUAUUUCUCCUUCCACUCCCAUACAUAAUCCAAAAAGAUUAUUUUAUUCUUAAAAAAAGCAUUUUGAAUGUAUUUUUUCUAUUUACACUUUCCAUAGUGUAAAAUUUAAAAAAUAAUUUCGACUUCUUAAUCUACAAUCUAUAAUGUAUUUAAAAAAAAUUCAAAUUAUAAAAUUUGAGUAUUUUCAUAUCCAAAAAUAUCUUCUAAAUUUCAUAAUUCAGAAUAUUUGUUUUUAAAAAAACACAUUUAGAUUAUAGAAUUUAAAAGGUAUUUAAAAUAUAUAAAUAUUUUUUAAAUUUUAUAAUCCAAAGUUUUUCCAAAUCACCAAUUCUAAAAUAAAAAAAUAUUAAUAAAAUAAAAAAUACUUUUAAUAUUUUACUAAAUAUGAAGGUGCCACAAGAAACUAACGGAGGUGUAGGAAAGAACAUUGUUUACUCCACUGUUACUAUAUUGGACUGUUGGUCGUCUAUUUAUGUCCAACAACUUUUUUUAAAGCAUAAUAUAUCAUAUAAUCAACUAAAAUAAUAAUAUUAAAAUUUUAAAAAAUAAAUAAUAUGAUAAAAUAAUAAUAAUAAUAUUUACAUUAAAAAUAUAAUUUUAUAUAACAUCAUAUACUAUUAAAUUGUUAUGUCAUUUAUAAACAUUUUAAUAUUUUUUAUCUGAAGGAAACUCUUAAAAAUCUCCCAUGCCACUAUUUUAAUAAAAAAGUAGCAGAAAAAAUACCGAACAAAACUUAAAGACAUUGAUAAUGACCUGGCAUUUAAUAAUCUCUCGUGCUGACAAUGUAUUCCAAAAGAUUCCUAAUAUGUUUCCAAUCAUUUUAAAAACUACAUGGCCCCAAAUUACGUGUGGACAAAAAUAAAUUAAACUAUACUAAAUUGAUAUUGAAGUGCAUUAAAUUAAUACACAAAAAUUGAUCUGUUUUAUAUAAAAAUUAAAUUGAACCUAUGCAAUAGUUCAAUUUAAAAAAUUAAAUUAUUCGUUUUAAUAAUUUAAUGCAUUGUCCUUUUCUAGACUUGUUGGAUGAUUUAAUGUUCUUAGUUUAAAACAAUACAUUUAUGGAGAGUUCGUAAUAGAAGAAGACUGAUAAGUGUUUAAUUUAUCAUUUAUUUUAAAAAUAAAUAUUGUAUGACUAUACAAAUGGCACUAAUUAAAUUAUUAUAAUUACAACUUUACAUUUAAGUCUAAUUUUAAAAGAAUAGAUUUUAUGUUUAGACGAUUUUUUUUUAAAGUAGUUUAUUUAAAUGUUUUGUUUAUUUAGAAUAACAAGAAAACAAACCAUUAUUCACAACAACAAAAAUUUAAUUUUAACUGAGGUUUUUUUUACUAGAGGUUUAAUAAUCUCCGGUAAAUUAUGUACAUACCAGGGGUUUUUUUAACCUCUGAUAAGUCUCGAGGGUUUUUUAAUAAACCGUUGGAGAGUUUUUGAUUUUUCAUUAUGGAGAUUCGUCUUAUAUCUGCAAGUUUUAAAGCUCUGUUAAAAUUGACACGAAAUAAAGGGUUAAAGAGUAAAAGUGUGGUGUGAAGAGUGUGUGUUCUUUGCGCACCGCAUCAACAACAAUUUAUCAAGCUGCAAUUGGACAUUAGAAAAAACCCAAAACGACGCUCGAUUUUUCUGUUUCUAUGUCACGAUUCAUGCACAACGCACUUAUGGAACAGUUUCAUGCUUCAGUGCUUCUCUCUUGCUUUUUGUACUGGUAUGGAUCAGACCGAGCUGAUCGAGAUUCGGUCUCCCUAAUCGAGAGGACUGAGAUCCCAUGGAUGACCUAGCCGACCAACACACUUAACCAUUAACACUCAAAUUAAGGUCAGUGAAGCUAAACUACCAUUAAGAAUUAGGUAAUGCAAUCAUAAGUGUGAUUCAUUCUACCAAUCGGAUCCAAUAAGGUAAGUCCAUUAAAAUAAUAUAAAUAGCGCAUAUUUCAAAAAGAAAAAUACGUCAUUCAUUAUUACUGUACACACCGAGUGCCGAAUAUCUUUUUCACUAACUUUAGCGUCGGAGUGCCUUCUGCAGAUACCUCCCCCAUUUGACAUUCACUCGAUACUGAGAGUCGAAAGAAUAGCACGAAGACCAGAAGAAUCACAAAGAAGCCUUAACAACCUGCCUGAAGGAAGGAGAAAGAUGAAGCCUUUAAUAGUUCUCUAAGUCACAUCUCCCUAACAGGAACACUUUUGUUUUUUUAUUUUGCUCCACAUUCCUCCCAUUUUCCUUUCUCUUCUUUUUCUCUUGUCGUUUCAAGGCCGGCACAAGCUCCAAAGUAGAAGCUUAGCUUGGAUCAUACUAGGGUUUUAGCUUCUUUUCUUCACCUGUUUCUUAUUGCACCUCCAUAGUUUCUCUUACCACCUCCAUAGAUUGGGCGAAAAAACCAUUUUAUUCUUAAUAAAAUUAUUCCAAAUUUUAUAAUUUUGAAAUGUACAUAUUAUUUUUAGCUUUCUGGUCCUACAUACAAACAUGGAUAAGCCCAUAGUUGCAUUUUUUUAAUUAAAAUAAAUAUAUGGUUUUGUUA
RNAcentral lists this long non-coding RNA (2692 nucleotides) under Phaseolus vulgaris (common bean). Its description in RNAcentral is "long non-coding RNA (PVUL_LNC001795)". Lineage: Eukaryota; Viridiplantae; Streptophyta; Magnoliopsida; Fabales; Fabaceae. The record is from RNAcentral.